CAACCGUUGAGUUCAGAAACAACUAAAAACGAGGCGUACUCUGAAAAUCCUAACGAGUAAGAAAUAU
Molecule: regulatory RNA element, 67 nt
Organism: Flavobacterium fluvii
Lineage: Bacteria; Pseudomonadati; Bacteroidota; Flavobacteriia; Flavobacteriales; Flavobacteriaceae
Rfam family: DUF805 RNA
Source: Rfam